Non-coding RNA from Pelobates cultripes (western spadefoot toad), 1357 nucleotides. The record is from the annotation of a GenBank genome assembly. NCBI's taxonomy places the organism in Eukaryota, Metazoa, Chordata, Amphibia, Anura, Pelobatidae.
CAUACAUACAUACACACAUACACACACUUCCAAACCUAGGUGGUCAAAAAAUUUAAAUACAAAUUGUACUAUUUUUAAACCCAAUACCAGUAACAAACUAUUAUCUCCAUAUGGGACCAUGAUUAUCAAUACAUUAUGUAAGCAGCAAAUACAAUACAUUCAAUAUAUUCUGCACUUCAAUCCCAGAAACUGGUAGACAUGCAUAUAAACAAACAACAUUCUAAUCUGGUUUCGCACAUAAGAAUCUCUCUAAGCUAGUCAAAACACCACAUCCGAAUGGAAAGCCAUUAUGUAGAAUCAUAAAAUAGUUCCCAAGAGCUACACAUUUUUAAAUAAAACAAGGAAAGGAGGCAAUUUAAUCUCUGGACCUCAGGCUUUAGGUUGUAAUUGUUGUUAAUUCAGAAGUGUAAGAGCCCAGAAAUAAAAAAAAGUUGACAUUCAAACAAUAGUAGGAUGACAUGAUAGGUCUGAUCUACAACAUUGACAGCAGAAAUAACUGUACUAAAUAAUUAAUUGUGUAAACGAAAAUGCAAUUCAAAAAAAUAACCCGGGUAUAGGCAUUUCUACCAAAAGACUUUUCCAGAAUUCAGGUCAUAUUAGGAACACUGUAACAGAAGGUUAAAAAUAAAUACAAUUUAAAAAAAAUAUAAAUAAAAGAAAAAAUUUAUUAACAAAAUGAUGCAAGUGUGGGUGUCAAACUACCAAAUAUAAGAGGACCAAUUUUAUUCUACUCAAACUGAAACUUGCAUUAUUAACUGGUAAUCUGGUAACAUAUGCCUCAAGUAAAUACACAUUUCAGUUUCAAUCCUCCAAAAAUAAGGAUUCAUAUCCACAAAAAUCUAACUUUUGUUAGGUCCUGAAAGUAGGUACUAGUUCAUGCUAAAGGUGAAGCUGUAAUCUGAAAAUUAAUUGAAAAACACUCGCACUGCCAAAAUGUCAGACAUUACUAGCAAAAUAGUUAUGAUGCUAGGAGCAGGGAUCUGACAUCACUAAAUAGUGCGCAAGGAAGCAGAGCUCGAAGAUUAUAGGAAGCUAGCAGCUCCACUGGGGCCACAGGGAGAGUAUCCACUCCAGCUCUCCCAAAAAGGUAAGGAGGUUGGGUGGACGUAAAUUAAAAUAAACACAUUUUCAAGGAGUAUGAGAGUGAGUGAGUGUGUGUGUGUGUGUGUGGAGGGGGGGGUUAUUGGUACACUAAAAACACAAGGCAUGUUUAUGUUCACAACUGACUUGACAAAGGCUUGUUGUAGGGCCAAAGAAUCGUCUUUCGGUCUGCACUUCAAAUAAAGUCUGCCUUCAUAAGAAACCUCCAGGUGUGCCCAGAAAUUGUUGUUUCCUAUAGUAAGUGUGUAUGUCUAAG